Molecule: long non-coding RNA, 417 nt
Organism: Medicago truncatula (barrel medic)
Lineage: Eukaryota; Viridiplantae; Streptophyta; Magnoliopsida; Fabales; Fabaceae
Exons: 2
Source: RefSeq, a predicted model, not a curated record
GAGAGGUAGAGAGAGAAAGAGGGAGAAAGGAAUAACAAGGGUUUGAGAAAGGGAGAAACUUGAAGAUUGAAGAAUUAGGAGGUAAAGUGAAGCCUAAGUGUGAAUUAAUCAUAACCUAAGACGUUGUGCAGGUUUAGUAGCUUGGUGAGUUCCUGAUGUUGGUGGAUAGUGGGAGCUUUCUCCGCUAUCGGGUCUUAGAGUAGAGUUGGCUCUGAUCUAGGGUUUUGUUGUUAGCUCUAGAUCUUGUUGGAUUAUUUUCGUACUUUGAGAUUUUGUCCACGUGUCGGACUUGGAGAUUUUAUGCUUAUGCAUUUUUGAGAUGACAUGACAUGUAUGUUUGAUGUAUGAGAUUUGUAUCCGCUGCGACUGAUGAGGUUUUAUAUACAUGCAUGUUGACCGUUGAUUCGAUUUUGUUUU